GAAGUUUUAGGUUGGCACCGACAGGUUGCCACGGCACACGAAACAGCGUUGGUUUGUAUAUAAAAGCAUGCAGGCGAAGCCAGAUGGCUCCGCAAAAGUGCGUAUAUCAGGUCUGUUUCGUGUGCUGAAUUGUUGACGCAUUCAUUUAUUGGUAUCGCAUGAACCCCAUCGUAAUUAAUCGGCUUCAACGGAAGCUGGGCUACACUUUUAAUC
Molecule: non-coding RNA, 213 nt
Organism: Escherichia coli ISC11
Lineage: Bacteria; Pseudomonadati; Pseudomonadota; Gammaproteobacteria; Enterobacterales; Enterobacteriaceae
Source: Rfam